Molecule: ribosomal RNA, 429 nt
Filed under: Gemmatimonadota bacterium
Lineage: Bacteria; Pseudomonadati; Gemmatimonadota
Description: Gemmatimonadetes bacterium partial 16S ribosomal RNA
Rfam family: Bacterial small subunit ribosomal RNA
Source: RNAcentral
UAGGGAAUCUUCGGCAAUGGACGAAAGUCUGACCGAGCAACGCCGCGUGAGUGAAGAAGGUUUUCGGAUCGUAAAACUCUGUUGUUAGAGAAGAACAAGGACGUUAGUAACUGAACGUCCCCUGACGGUAUCUAACCAGAAAGCCACGGCUAACUACGUGCCAGCAGCCGCGGUAAUACGUAGGUGGCAAGCGUUGUCCGGAUUUAUUGGGCGUAAAGCGAGCGCAGGCGGUUUCUUAAGUCUGAUGUGAAAGCCCCCGGCUCAACCGGAGAGGGUCAUUGGAAACUGGGAGACUUGAGUGCAGGAGAGGAGAGUGGAAUUCCAUGUGUAGCGGUGAAAUGCGUAGAUAUAUGGAGGAACACCAGUGGCGAAGGCGGCUCUCUGGUCUGUAACUGACGCUGAGGCUCGAAAGCGUGGGGAGCAAACAGG